UUUCCGUAGGUGAACCUGCGGAAGGAUCAUUACGUAUGGUAGGCCGGUCUGACCGGUUCUAUUCAACCCUGUUUUUUGCGCACCCUUUGUUUCCUCGGCAGGCUUGCCUGCCAGUAGGACCUUUUCAACCCUUCGUGUCAAAGCAAUCAGCGUCAAACAAACAAAACAAUGGUAACAACUUUCAACAACGGAUCUCUUGGUUCUG
RNAcentral lists this unclassified non-coding RNA (205 nucleotides) under plant metagenome. Its description in RNAcentral is "partial contains small subunit ribosomal RNA, internal transcribed spacer 1, and 5.8S ribosomal RNA". The record is from RNAcentral.